RNAcentral lists this ribosomal RNA (256 nucleotides) under uncultured bacterium. RNAcentral describes it as "partial 16S ribosomal RNA". It matches the Rfam family "Bacterial small subunit ribosomal RNA", at positions 524 to 776 of the family's 1533-position model. The record is from RNAcentral.
UACAGAAGGCACUAGCGUUAUUCAUCUUUACUGGGCUUAAAGGGUGUGUAGGUGGUUUUAAAAAGGCUAUGUUAAAAAUUGAAGAUAACCCUAUAAAAAGCGCAUAUUCUUAUUAAAUAAACUUGAGUUAAAAAGAGGUUUGGAGUAGCUUCAGUACAGCGGUGAAAUAAAUAUACUCUGAGGCGAAUGCCAUUCGUGAAGACACCUUUCUACUUUUAACUGACACUGAGAUACGGAAUCAAGAACAUCGAACUGG